CACGCAGGCGCAAAGGCUGGCGUUCGAGGUUCGUUUACGCGCCGCUCCGCCGUGCAGGUGGUGGCGAAGCGCUCCUCCGAAAGGUUUCGGAAGCCGGUGGUAGCUCUGAAGAUAACGCUGCGUUAGGGCAUACUGCGGCGGAGGAUGGAACUCCGAUUGAAAGCAGUUGCUGGAGUGGAGCACGAAUUUCAAAAAGCUGCAUGUUGAAGUGUGAGGCGUGAAAGGAUAUGUCUGAUAUUUGCUUUAAAAUGCUCCAGCAAAGAAAUUAAGGGAUGGAUG
This 279-nucleotide long non-coding RNA is filed under the name Pan troglodytes (chimpanzee). RNAcentral's name for it is "long non-coding RNA NONPTRT013518". Lineage: Eukaryota; Metazoa; Chordata; Mammalia; Primates; Hominidae. The record is from RNAcentral.